Long non-coding RNA from Ctenopharyngodon idella (grass carp), 450 nucleotides. RefSeq lists it as uncharacterized. NCBI's taxonomy places the organism in Eukaryota, Metazoa, Chordata, Actinopteri, Cypriniformes, Xenocyprididae. The record is from RefSeq and is a predicted model, not a curated record. The transcript has 3 exons.
GCGCGAAAUUCCGGUGUAGGGCAAGCAGUGAAAAUUAGAAUGGAAGAGAUGGAGAAAAGUCCGUUCUGUGCUGGUUUAGAAAGGCAUUUCUUGAAUGAAGAAAAAAGAAAACCUUUAAUCAUCUGACUUUGAUAGAGUCAAGGACACUAAUGGGGAAGUGGACCAACAAGACAUUGGAGAGCACACGCUGAAAACUGUGACCAUAUUGGAGUCCUUUAGCAGCAGGAAUAAUCUUAGAAGGUGUUGAGGUUCUGGGAGGAUUGUCCAGUGUUGCAAUUGCAUGUGGUGCUCUUCUUGGCCUGAUGUAAACCUGAGUUACCCCAAGCCACUGAGGUAUACAUUUGAACUUUUCCAGGAAAUCCUGCUUGAACUAGACAGUCUUUUUUUGUCAAAUGCGCAUUUAAUGGUUCACCACAGCAUACAUAUAAAGGUUUGGUUCCCCAAAAAUGA